RNAcentral lists this ribosomal RNA (164 nucleotides) under Saccharum officinarum (sugarcane). RNAcentral describes it as "5.8S ribosomal RNA". It matches the Rfam family "5.8S ribosomal RNA". Rfam says of the family: 5.8S ribosomal RNA (5.8S rRNA) is a component of the large subunit of the eukaryotic ribosome. It is transcribed by RNA polymerase I as part of the 45S precursor that also contains 18S and 28S rRNA. RNAcentral also lists the same sequence under 8 other names. Lineage: Eukaryota; Viridiplantae; Streptophyta; Magnoliopsida; Poales; Poaceae. The record is from RNAcentral.
GACACGACUCUCGGCAACGGAUAUCUCGGCUCUCGCAUCGAUGAAGAACGUAGCAAAAUGCGAUACCUGGUGUGAAUUGCAGAAUCCCGCGAACCAUCGAGUUUUUGAACGCAAGUUGCGCCCGAGGCCUUCUGGCCGAGGGCACGUCUGCCUGGGCGUCACGC